Molecule: RNA transcript, 3847 nt
Organism: Branchiostoma floridae (Florida lancelet)
Lineage: Eukaryota; Metazoa; Chordata; Leptocardii; Amphioxiformes; Branchiostomatidae
Gene name: matrilin-2-like
Exons: 8
Source: RefSeq, a predicted model, not a curated record
UUUUCUGAAUUAUACAUAACUAAGAUGACUAAAAAAAGAAAAUUAACACAACUUCUGGCCAUCGCGUUGUUUCAAAACUCGAGCAAUGCCAUAAAUGAUUAAGUUAUGUUGCUUGCCACCAUGGUAUUGGGAUGUUGAUGUUGUGCAAAAUUGUAUGUUAAGUAGCGAUGUGAAAGAAAUAACUGUAAGAAAUUCUUGUUUCUUAUACGAAAGUUACAUUGUUGUACGUUUGGCUCGCAAGAAUUAUGCUUUUGUCCGUGAACUCUGAUCAAAGAUAGUUUUUUUUCUAUGGCGUACAAUCAUGGAUUCUCAAACAACAUCAUGUAACCUUGUAUCUGGUAACAAAAUUGCGCUCAAAGUUAAGUUAUACAAGUUAUAUUAAGUAUGUUUAAAAGGAACAGAUGGAAUUAAACUUCAAGGACCAUGUCGUGUUAGUGAUUUCUGUCUACUAUACAAUAUUAAAUAUGUACAGGUAUUGAUAUGUAUCAGCUCUUAGAUAAGAACAUGUAUUUGCAAAACUCUAUAUAUACUGUUCCUGUGAAGGUUUAUCUGUGACAGAAAUCGGCAUAGUAAAAGCUUUUGCAAGCAAUGUUUGUAAAAACAAAGUAAAGCGCUUACCAACAUGUUUUAGGCCAUUUCUCUAAUCCUUGCCAAGUUGAAAUGAACCCAAGCGUUAGAACACAAUGGUGAUAACAAUUGAAAGUAAUAACAAAAAGUGGCAACAAAAGGAGAUAAAAGUUGUCAAUUCACCAUUGCCUCAACAUGCAUUGCCUCGAUAUUAGCUCAAACGUCAUCUAGCGAUAAUGCACUACACUGCAGCUGUUGACAACUACAGGUAAUGCUGUAUGGUGUCGCCUGGAGGUGCCGCCGUGCAUGGCCUCUAAUUGCAGGUCAGAACAAUUUAGUGCGUACACAAUAACAAUGACGUUCUCUCUCUUUUGUUAUGCAAAUUAUCUAGACCUCAGAAAAAUACAUGGGUUUUCCCAGAUCAAAUCUACCAAGUGGCGCAAUAUCUCAGAGUAUACGUACAGGCAACGAGUACUUCUACUGACAACUGGCAUUUUACUGUCCAAACUGUAAAGUUACCUUGCCGUGACAAAAUGGUUCAGAACUGGUGGUCGGCGCUACUACUAGUUGUGGGACUGUGCUGGGGACCCUCUUUUGUACUGGCAGCUUCUGGCGAUGCCGGAGACAUCAUGUUCGUGCUAGACGGGUCCGGUAGCAUCAGCGCUGACGACUUUGUUAGGGCCAAAUCUUUCAUCAGUCAAGUUGUGGAUGCGUUCGACAUAGCUGCGGACUUCACACGCGUAGGUGUAGUUCAGUUUAGUUCCUUUUUUACGGAGGAAUUCCCGCUAGACGGUUACUCGGACAAGGCGUCUUUGAAGCAAGCCAUCGGGAAUAUCCCACAGAGAGGAGGCGGAACCUUAUUGGGACAAGUCAUCAACUACCUGGUCAACACAAGCUUUACCGAAGCCAAAGGAGCGCGUCCACUAUCGCAGGGGAUACCCAGAAUUGCGGUGUUAAUGACAGACGGAUCGGCCCACGACAACCCUACUACUGUCUUAGCCCCAGCUAUUGAUGCCUUACGAGCAUCAGGCAUAAUUGCCUUUUCCAUUGGAGUGGGUCCCAGCGUGAAUAGGGACCAACUAGAAGCAGUGGCCGGGGAUACAGACAGGGUCUUCCAGGUCGGUACUUAUUCUGUUAUCAACAGCAUCCGGGACCUUCUGGUGGAAAGAGUGAGGGAAAUCAUUGAGUUACCGUCAUCUCCAAGGCCACCUACUGUGGAACCUUCCAGCACACAAAGUCAGACUCCACAACUACUGACGACAUCUAGAGCAACUACACAACAUCCAAUGACAUCAAAAGCAACUACACAACGUCUGACGACGUCAAAAGCAACUACACAACGUCUGACGACAUCAAAAGCAACUACACAACUUCCGAUGACAUCAACAUCAUCAACUACACAAAUAAUGACACCAAUUGCAACUGCUCAACUUCAAAACACCACAACAGCAACCGUCGAAACUAAGAAAGUUACACCGACCAACACGGUGUACUACAUUGCCGGAGGAGUAGGGGGCGCUCUUCUCCUCCUCAUCAUACUGGUUAUCAUUGUGCUGGUGAUCAAGUGUCGUGAACAUCAAGAUGAGCCAGAAGUUCAGGAUGAUCCCUUCGAGAGAGAAGAACUUGGACCACGAGAGUUUGUGUUCACCAACCCAGCUUUUGGGAACGCGGAGAAUGUGCCCACCAAUCGCUGGCAGGAGGCGGCAGGUCACGGGGACCCCGCCCCAGAGGAACCCCUGUAUGUCAACAUGCCUGCGGAACCCACCGAUGCCAACAUGCAGAACAGCACCUUCAGCAAGAGAAACGUCAUGGAAAAUGUGUAUGUCUAACUUGACAUAACAAUUGUUAUAUUUGUGUGGCUAUUGUGUAUACUAGUAUGAUAACUACCCCAUAUGCAAUGUAUAUAGAGAGAUAGAGAUAUGUAAGGCAUAGGGAUGGAGAAAGAUUAUAUGCACAUUAUCUACUUGUACUUGGCGAUUUGAAGAUGUAAAUUUUUCCAGACAUUUUUCAAGAAACAAUAUUAUAAAACACUUCGCAUUAUCUUCAAUACCCUCCUUUCCCGCAGUCUAUUGAGCAGUUCAACCAGACAGUUUAUUUCUUAAAUAACACAUAAACUUAAACUUCAAGCGAAUGUCACAAAUAUCUUUGACUUUGACUUACUUAGUAAUGUAUAAGUACUCAUGAUAUGAUGGUAAAUAACGAAUGAAAGGUUCCAUGAUAAAUACACUGCAACAUAUGCAACACAUGGAAACAUUAUAUCUACAUGACUAUUUCUACUAUAGAUUAAAACUUUGAGAGGCCAUGUUGAGGAUUAUAUCAAUUGUAUGUAUAUAUACCUCUAUUUCAUGGUAAAUACACUACAACAUAUGAAAGGCAUGGAAAUACAUUAUCUAUGUGACUAUUUUUGCUAUACGCUUAUGAAGGUUAGACAUCCGAAAGUAAAUAUGUUUUUAUCCAGUUGUAGAGAUUGGAUUGUAUUUGAAUAUUUUUACUAUUGAUUCGAGAGGCCAUGUUGAGGCUAAUAUCAGUUGUAUGUACAUGUACAUAUAAAGAGGUUGGCCCCCUUUUUCUGAUGUACGGGGAACUUUAGCUAGCUUUUUUAUAUGGAGAACUGCAAAGGCAAAACAUGUAUGAUGAUGUCGUUACUAAAAGAAGGAAUGGGCAAAUAUUUAAAGAUACACCAAAACGGCUGUGAAGGAACAUAAAACAGAAGUGAACAUGAUUACAGUUUGCUAAGUGGAAGAAGAAGCAACAAGCGUCAUGGCAUUGUUUGAAGGUUUUAUUUCUUUGAGAUUAGCAUUGUGCAUAUACAUCAAUGUACAAAUUGUGAUCAAUCAACAAUUAAGUAAACAUCUCAUAAAAUACAAAUGGGCUUGGAACAAACCGCUGUUUCCAUUGAUGGAAAGAUAAGGAUAAAAAAAAACAAUAAUUUCGUUUGCAUUAAUAAAAAAUGAUUUUGUAAUAAAGUGAAAUUUAGUGUCUAAAAUUACACUAAGUUCCCAAGACUCCAGUACUAAUCUGACACCUUGAAGCACCCCUAGAGUAGAAAGGGUUAACAAAAACAGUGGCCAGUUCCUUGCUGUUUCUUUGUAUCAAUGUAAUACAUCUGCAACAAUUUCAUAGCAGUGGUACAUAUAUAACUCAGGCUGUAGUACAUUCAUAGAUCUCUGUUCAGAGUGAGUUGUGGGUCAAAUUAUAUAUCUACUUUCUACAGAAGUAAAAUUUGUAUAUCCCUAGUAAGAGAUAGCUCUGAAAUCAAAUUAUAUUUACAGAGAAUCAA